GAGCGGGUGUAGAUAGACAUGCCA
RNAcentral lists this microRNA (24 nucleotides) under Pristionchus pacificus. Its description in RNAcentral is "ppc-miR-8310-5p". The record is from miRBase by way of RNAcentral. Lineage: Eukaryota; Metazoa; Nematoda; Chromadorea; Rhabditida; Neodiplogasteridae.